RNAcentral lists this transfer RNA (59 nucleotides) under Bactrurus brachycaudus. RNAcentral describes it as "tRNA-Phe". The record is from RNAcentral. Lineage: Eukaryota; Metazoa; Arthropoda; Malacostraca; Amphipoda; Crangonyctidae.
UUCUUAUUAGCCUAUAUAGGGCGUUAUUUUGAAGCAAUAAAGGAGAGUCUCAUAAGAAA